AGCAGCCGCGGUAAUUCCAGCUCCAAUAGCGUAUAUUAAAGUUGUUGCAGUUAAAAAGCUCGUAGUUGAAUUUCGGAAUCUGUCCAUCGGUCGGGCUUCACUGUCCGUACUGGUGUGGUGGGUUCUUACCUUCUGAAUAACCAGCAUGCCAUUCAUUUGGUGCGCUGGGGAAGCAGGACUAUUACCUUGAAAAAAUUAGAGUGCUCAAAGCAGGCUAGUGCCUGAAUACAUUAGCAUGGAAUAAUAAAAUAGGACGGCAUGGUUCUAUUUUGUUGGUUUCUAGGAUCACCGUAAUGAUUAAUAGGGAUAGUUGGGGGCAUUAGUAUUCAAUUGUCAGAGGUGAAAUUCUUGGAUUUAUUGAAGACUAACUUCUGCGAAAGCAUUUGCCAAGGAUGUUUUCAUUAAUCAAAGAACGAAAGUUAGGGGAUCGAAGACGAUCAGAUACCGUCG
Molecule: ribosomal RNA, 450 nt
Filed under: uncultured Acaulospora
Lineage: Eukaryota; Fungi; Glomeromycota; Glomeromycetes; Diversisporales; Acaulosporaceae
Description: SSU rRNA
Rfam family: Eukaryotic small subunit ribosomal RNA
Source: RNAcentral